UACGUAGGGUGCGAGCGUUGUCCGGAAUUAUUGGGCGUAAAGAGCUCGUAGGCGGUUUGUUGCGUCUAUCGUGAAAACCUGCAGCUUAACUGUGGGCUUGCGGUGGAUACGGGCAGACUUGAGUUCGGUAGGGGAGACUGGAAUUCCUGGUGUAGCGGUGAAAUGCGCAGAUAUCAGGAGGAACACCCGUGGCGAAGGCGGCUCUCUGGGACGGUACUGACGCUGAGACGCGAAAGCGUGGGGAGCAAACAGG
Molecule: ribosomal RNA, 253 nt
Filed under: uncultured bacterium
Lineage: Bacteria
Description: partial 16S ribosomal RNA
Rfam family: Bacterial small subunit ribosomal RNA
Source: RNAcentral